CCCUUAGAUGUCCUGGGCUGCACGCGCGCUACACUGAUGUGUCCAGUAAGCACCUAACCUCUUCCGAAGGGAACGGGUAACCUUAGCAAAGCACAUCGUGAUGGGGAUAGAUUAUUGCAAUUAUUAGUCUUGAACGAGGAAUUCCUAGUAAGCACAAGUCAUCAGCUUGUGUUGAUUACGUCCCUGCCCUUUGUACACACCGCCCGUCGCUCCUACCGAUUGAAUGUUCCGGUGAAUACUUCGGACUGCGAGGUCUGCAGUUUCUGCGUUCCUUGCGGAAAGUUGAAUAAACCUUNANAUUUAGNGGAAGGAGAANUCGUANCG
RNAcentral lists this ribosomal RNA (324 nucleotides) under uncultured eukaryote. RNAcentral describes it as "partial 18S ribosomal RNA". It matches the Rfam family "Eukaryotic small subunit ribosomal RNA", at positions 1470 to 1796 of the family's 1831-position model. The record is from RNAcentral.